GAAGAGAUUUGGGAGUGCUCGCAAGAGAACCGGAACACAGGUGCUGCAUGGCUGUCGUCAGCUCGUGUCGUGAGAUGUUGGGUUAAGUCCCGCAACGAGCGCAACCCUCGACCUUAGUUGCCAGCAUUCAGUUGGGCACUCUAAGGUGACUGCGGCUAAAAGUCGGAGGAAGGUGGGGAUGACGUCAAAUCAUCAUGCCCCUUAUGACCUGGGCUACACACGUGCUACAAUGGGCGGUACAAAGGGUCGCGAACCCGCGAGGGGGAGCCGAAUCCCAAAAAGCCGCUCUCAGUUCGGAUUGCAGGCUGCAACUCGCCUGCAUGAAGCCGGAAUCGCUAGUAAUCGCGGAUCAGCAUGUCACGGUGAAUACGUUCCCGGGUCUU
Molecule: ribosomal RNA, 383 nt
Filed under: uncultured Anoxybacillus sp.
Lineage: Bacteria; Bacillati; Bacillota; Bacilli; Caryophanales; Anoxybacillaceae
Description: bacterial SSU rRNA
Rfam family: Bacterial small subunit ribosomal RNA
Source: RNAcentral